UUCCGUAGGUGAACCUGCGGAAGGAUCAUUCGCACAAAGAUAUGUUCUGUUCCACCCGCCACGCACCAUACAGUGCUUUCUGUUUUGUCAUCAGGAAAUUUAAUUUCCAACUCGUCGAUGUUGCGAUCUCAUUGCAAUGUAUGCGAUGUUAUCUAUCUCUUGCGACGACGAAUGCCUUGGCUCGAGGAUCGUUGAAGGACGCAGCGAACUGUGCUAAACAUCUCGAAUUGCAGAUUUCCGAGAAAGAAAAGGAUUCUGAACGCAUUCUGCGAGUUGAACUUGUUUCAGCUCACGUGAUUGACGGUGACCGAAAUAUGCAGUCGCUCGAACUCCGAAGUUCAAGUGGUGUUCACAUGUUGUCGCAAAGUUUUGCGCCGACGUGUUCGCGGAAUUCAGCGCGUCUCUCGUUUUCGAGUUGCAUUAUGAAUUCAUUUCAUUGUGUUCGAUUUCAUUGACGUGUCUCAGUUUUUCAUUUUUUGAAAACAUUUUUUUCCGCACGCUCACGAUCAGUCACGAGAUUACCCGCUGAAUUUAAGCAUAUCAAUAAGCGGAGGAAA
Molecule: ribosomal RNA, 557 nt
Filed under: uncultured eukaryote
Lineage: Eukaryota
Description: eukaryotic LSU rRNA
Rfam family: 5.8S ribosomal RNA (bases 157-309)
Source: RNAcentral